CAAAAUUGAGAGGAUGGUACAGACACCUACUAUAUACCCCUUGAUCUUACACAUCUAUGGCCUCCAGAAUUAUUAGUGUAACCAGAGUGGCUUCUUUCACUUAAUAAAUCUGAGAAGUGAUAGGACUCCCCCAGGAGCCCAAGGUGACAGAGAGCCUGAGCUUGGAUUCACAAUGCUUUUUGUUAAUCAGACCCUGAAUAUCAGCCUCCAUCACAGCCAGCUAUCAGGAAUCCCUGGAGUGUCUUGGUACCUUUGCUCCUGGUAGAGUUGAAGUAACUUGCACAAAUCCUCUAGAAAGGGAAAUCAAGAGAACUUGGUUUUGAACUCUGGCUUAUGAGUGCAGACACAAUGUUCCUUUCUCAGUUUUUAUCACCCUGUGGUCACUGAGACAAAGGGGCAGGGUGAAGAGACAAGGACACCGAGGACAAAGUUUUUCUUGCCAGAAGAUGCAGCAUGGUGUUCAUUCUGUAACAAUAAAUCCUGUGAAAAUG
This is a long non-coding RNA of Heterocephalus glaber (naked mole-rat), 491 nucleotides long. The record is from Ensembl. Lineage: Eukaryota; Metazoa; Chordata; Mammalia; Rodentia; Bathyergidae.